ACGGCGAAACUGCGAAUGGCUCAUUAUAUAAGUUAUCGUUUAUUUGAUAGCACAUUACUACUUGGAUAACCGUGGUAAUUCUAGAGCUAAUACAUGCUAAAAAUCCCGACUUCGGAAGGGAUGUAUUUAUUAGAUUAAAAGCCAAUGCCCUCUGGGCUCUCUGGUGAAUCAUGAUAACUGCUCGAAUCGCAGGGCCUCGUGCCGGCGAUGGUUCAUUCAAAUUUCUUCCCUAUCAACUUUCGAUGUUUGGGUAUUGGCCAAACAUGGUUACAACGGGUAACGGAGGGUUAGGGCUCGACCCCGGAGAAGGAGCCUGAGAAACGGCUACUACAUCCAAGGAAGGCAGCAGGCGCGCAAAUUACCCAAUCCCGACACGGGGAGGUAGUGACAAUAAAUACUGAUACAGGGCUCUUUCGGGUCUUGUAAUUGGAAUGAGUACAAUUUAAAUCCCUUAACGAGGAACAAUUGGAGGGCAAGUCUGGUGCCAGCAGCCGCGGUAAUUCCAGCUCCAAUAGCGUAUAUUAAAGUUGUUGUGGUUAAAAAGCUCGUAGUUGACCCUUGGGCCUGGCUGGCCGGUCCGCCUCACCGCGUGUACUGGUCCGGCCGGGCCUUUCCCUCUGUGGAACCCCAUGCCCUUCACUGGGCGUGGCGGGGAAACAGGACUUUUACUUUGAAAAAAUUAGAGUGCUCCAGGCAGGCCUAUGCUCGAAUACAUUAGCAUGGAAUAAUAGAAUAGGACGUGCGGUUCUAUUUUGUUGGUUUCUAGGACCGCCGUAAUGAUUAAUAGGGACAGUCGGGGGCAUCAGUAUUCAAUUGUCAGAGGUGAAAUUCUUGGAUCUAUUGAAGACUAACUACUGCGAAAGCAUUUGCCAAGGAUGUUUUCAUUAAUCAAGAACGAAAGUUAGGGGAUCGAAGACGAUCAGAUACCGUCGUAGUCCUGACCGUAAACUAUGCCGACUAGGGAUCGGACGAUGUUAUUUUUUGACUCGUUCGGCACCUUACGAGAAAUCAAAGUGC
RNAcentral lists this ribosomal RNA (1017 nucleotides) under Pleurocordyceps parvicapitata. RNAcentral's name for it is "SSU rRNA". It matches the Rfam family "Eukaryotic small subunit ribosomal RNA", at positions 78 to 1106 of the family's 1831-position model. Lineage: Eukaryota; Fungi; Ascomycota; Sordariomycetes; Hypocreales; Polycephalomycetaceae. The record is from RNAcentral.